RNAcentral lists this transfer RNA (70 nucleotides) under Crocuta crocuta (spotted hyena). RNAcentral describes it as "tRNA-Ser". It matches the Rfam family "tRNA". From Rfam's summary of the family: Transfer RNA (tRNA) molecules are approximately 80 nucleotides in length. The record is from RNAcentral. Lineage: Eukaryota; Metazoa; Chordata; Mammalia; Carnivora; Hyaenidae.
CUAAGAAAGACAUAGUGGUUAUGGUGUUGGCUUGAAACCAGUUUUAGAGGGUUCGACUCCUUCCUUUCUU